UCCGAUAACAUCUAAGGUUUUGUCGCUAUUUAAAUUGAAUACAUUGUUUUUAUUAAAAUUGUAAUUUGGGCCUAAACGGUAAAUACUAGCCAAAAGAGUUACUAAAAUAAUUGAUAUAGAAUUACAUUAUCUAUCAGUAUCCGAUUAAGAAUUUAAUAAAAAUUAAUAGUUCCAUGCAUAGUACGAGUACAAUUCUUCUCAUGUUCUGCACUACCACACUGAAAGUAUCAGUGUUUACAAACAAACAAGUUUCUUUAUCUCCUGCAGUUUUGUGCGGUCGCCACGCGGUUGGUGUGCGUACCACGUUAGUUUCAUUUGUGUCGUCAGGUGAUCUGGACGCACAUUUUCGUUACAAUAUUUUGAGCUCCCUAAUUUUGUGUCGCGUUAUUACGUACUGUUUCUAAAUGCUCCUUCAAUUGUGCGCGAGUGAUGUGCUGCGUUCGAUAAGCGAGGAUUGUACACACGCAGAGGUAAAGCGUGAGUGAUUUUCCGUCGGCCGUCAGAUACUCUUUUUGUAUCAUACGCGUACUUCAUAUUUAUUUCGUAUUUUCUUUGGAUAUGCCAAACGCGCAAAAAUAAAAUAUAAAAGAACAUCUGAUUCUACAGACUUUAUCUUAAUAAAAUUUUGUUUUAAAAUAAAGCUUUUUGAUAAUAAUAACCCUAACUAAAGAUUUGUCGCUAUUCAAAUUAAAUACAUUUUUUAUUAAAAUGGUAAAUUGGGCUUAAACGGUAAAUACUAGCCAAAAAAGUUACGAAAAUAAUCGAUAUACAAUUAAAUUAUCUAACCGAAUCCGGACAGAAUUUAAAAAUUUCAAAUUGUAAUUUCGAGAAUAAAAAACGAAAUCUUUUGCUUUUUUCAUAACAAACUAUUUUUGUUAAAUUUUUUUAUGCGUUUUUGAACGUUUUUUAAAAAGGGUGCCAUCUUGUAGAGAAUUCUUUAAGGAUCAACAAUAUGAAGUCCUUUUUUCCGUAUCCCUUUUAGUUCUCGAGAUAAUCGCAAUUUAAUCUCGCCGCUUUUACAUAAAAAAUUAAAGAAAAAAGUUCGACUCUGGUGUUCGACCUAAAAUUUUUUAAGAAAAUAAGUUUGGCUCUGUCCUUCGACCAAAAAAAUUCUGUCUAGCAGGCGAACAAAUUGUCCUAGAACAACAAUUCCUUCAUCAGAUUCGGGCGAACGGAAUGUCCUAGGACAGCGAUUCUUUUAUCAGAUUGUGUCUAGCGGGCGAACGAAAUGUCCUAGGGCAACGAUUCUUUCAUUAGAUUGUGUCCAGCAGGCGGACGAAAUGUUUAAGACAACGGUCCUAUUAUGAUAUUGUAAGUAUUGAAAUUGUUUCUCAUUUUUGUAAAUAAUUUUCAUGUCUCAUACAUUGAAAUGUAAAUUAAAUUAGUUAUUUUAAAUAUUAGCAGACGCAUUACAGAUUUCGUAGUAAUUUAUUUCAAGUUUCUGGUCCCAAAACUAGAUGUUGCCACUGUCAGGCUAUCUAAUAUAUUUUGCUCCGUCACACCCAGAUGGCGCUCGUGUCAGCUAUCUAUUUUGUUUUGUGCCGCCACGGCCAGAUGGCGCCUCCAUCGAUUUGGUUUGAAAUCUUACUUAAUUUUUGUUUAGUUUUUGGUGCAGAGUUGCGGAGGGCACGUCACUUUUAUACAUAACUUUAGUUAAGUUAAGUUAGUUAAGUUUAACAAAACGAAAAAUAACUAAAGUUCAAUUUUUGAUUGCUUUAAUUUUCGGUUGCUUUAGGUGUCUAGCGGGCGAACGCGAUGUCGUAGAACCACCAUUCUUUCAUAAGUAUUCAAAUUGUAUACUAUUGUUAUAUACAUUAUUUGUGUUUAAUACUAGCGGAAUCCACAAAUGUCGUAUUUUUCCACAAUACGUUAACUAAAAUCCUUUCUUCCAAAUAAUGUUGUUUGUAAACUGAUAACUUUAUUUUAUAACUUGCAAUAUAUUUGUAAUAGCAUUUUUAUCGUGCGCAGGUAGAAGAAUGCCCUCCAACUGCGGAUCGGUUAUCAAUUCUCUUACCCGCUUAGUCAGACUUAGUCAGUUGAGCGCUGCCUCGUGGUGCGCACGUGUUUUAUUCAUUAAUCAAGCAUGGUGACGAUUUUACGCGUUUCUUAAUAUGUUAAUUUUGCAGUAAUGAUUUGAGUAAUCCUUUGCGGUGCGUGCAUGGCGUCCGUCGGAUAUGUUCCACCGGUGGCUAUGUGUUUGAUGUGAGUACAAGUUUUCCAUUUGUGAUGUACGCGUGGAAUAGUAAAGAAGUGCGUAUCAUCAAUUCAGCUUACAAUUUGCGGAAACGUGUUUGUGCGCUUUAGUUCUUUAUGGAUAGAAGAACA
Dalotia coriaria is the source of this 2325-nucleotide long non-coding RNA. RefSeq lists it as uncharacterized. The record is from RefSeq and is a predicted model, not a curated record. Lineage: Eukaryota; Metazoa; Arthropoda; Insecta; Coleoptera; Staphylinidae. The transcript has 4 exons.